CGUAUAACAUUUUGCUCCACUGAUGGUUGUUUUUAGAAGUUGUUGUUUAAGACAAAGACUCUGCUCAAGCAUGGUGGAUCUGUUAUGACAGUCAAACUUAAUGAAGUCCUUUGGCCUCAUCACUUAUUAUGCGAAUCCCUUCAACCAAUCAUCUGCUGGUUCUCUUCAUGGUAAUUCAAGUCCUUUCUUUGUAUCUUCUGGCUUCUCUACACUGUUGCUGCCUUCAGAUCCACCCAGAGACAGGACAGAGUCACCCAGGCUCAGCUAAGAUCCUGCUGUUGUGUUUAACUACACUUCACGACACAUGAUGGACGCAGAAAGGAAUGACAACGGAUGAAGAACAAGCAAAGAACAGGAGACUUCUUAGGACUUCUUCUUAAGUGUGCUGGCCACAUCCUUCUAUGGGGGUAGCUGGGAUGUGGCCACAGGGACAGAAUCGGGUGGGCAGGAGAGGCGACAUGGUAGACAAGCACAGUGCAG
RNAcentral lists this long non-coding RNA (480 nucleotides) under Bos mutus (wild yak). RNAcentral's name for it is "lncRNA (ENSBMUG00000000571.1)". Lineage: Eukaryota; Metazoa; Chordata; Mammalia; Artiodactyla; Bovidae. The record is from RNAcentral.